UGUUUGGCGGUAGAAUGGUGGUUCCAGAAACUAAAGAGCCAGAGGAGGUCUCGAGACCGGUCUAUCGCUUCCAAAGGGUGCUAGAUCAAAUUAUGGCCAUUUACUUUUCCUUCUUCAAAAUGGGAGAGGAAAUUCCUUUUGUUUUUGGUGGGAUGAAUUGCCUAUUUUUUUGCAUGUGUGUAGCAAGAGCCUUUUAGGGGUUUAAUGUUCAUAUCUAGAUAAAGGCUAAGAUGAUGAAGCUUAGCCGUCUCAUAUUUGCAUCUGUGAUGCUCUGCUUUUGGGUAAAACCCUAUUUCGUGUCAUUUUUUUGCCGUGAACCGCAUCAAGGAUUCACUACGAAAGGAUGUGGUUAAGGCCGCCAUCUUGCAUUGCUCUAUAUUUGUAUAUGUGUUUUGGUCUCUGCCUUAGAUGUUCUGUGAUGUAUUCGUCCUCUUAGGUCUAUGAUUAUAUGUUAUGGUUUGUUGGGAUAGCUAAUGUUCUGUGAUGAUUUGGAAGCUUGAAAAAACAUGAACUUGAAAGCUUUAAAAUACUGUUACAUAUUACAUACUACUUCUACAAAAUAAAGUGGAUCCUUACAUUGCAUACAUGUCUCUUUUCCUCUAAUCAAGCAAUCUUUCAUCACCAUUUUGGUGAUGGACUGCACUGGCUUUGUCUCUAGUGUUCAUUAAACUAUGUUCUUACUCCUUCUUUGUGCUGUAACAAAUUGUGUGAAUGGCAAAAUUUCAAUUUUUCCAUCAAACAGUCUCCAUUCUCAUCAAAAAGGGGCUUGCAAACCGCACACAUAAACAUCACCUUGGUGAUGAAUUUUUUGCUCUUACAACUCCUAUGUGGUUUAGGCUUCUCUUGAGUGAGAUGGAAUCGAUGUGAUGCUUUUAUCAUAUAGAACCACUUUUCACCUAUGUGUAUUGUAUUGUGCAUUAGUCUUAAAUUUCAUAAUAUUGGCAAUUUUGUCAUAUUCUAAGGCUUGAAGAGAAAUCCUUAACCUUGAGAGCUUAUUGGGGCCUGUAAGAUCUGGCUUAAUGGCGCUUGUGUGAGCUCUGAUUUAUGUUUAAUUUACACUAUUUUUAAGGGUUUGAAUGUGCGUGUUUAAAGAUAAUCUUCUGGAAUUUGGUGCGUUUAUGGUGUAUUUUAUGCUUUGCAGGAGAUUUAGACUCUCGAGAUGGAAGAAUGCAGUUUUGGAUGAAUCUAGCGUUUUCCAGAGGAACCGACAUCUCCAGAGCAGAGAAAUCACCAUUUCACUGGAAUCAGAGGAAUCGAAGCGAGUGCGGAAUCGCCAGAGAAAUCAAUCAGAGGAGUCGCUAGUCAGAGGAGUCGCUAGUAAGAGGAAUAGAGAAGCCAGAGCAGAGGAAUCAUAUAUUCCUCUGCCGAGAGUCCCAGCUGCCAGAGAAAUCAAGACCUCAAUUUCAGAGGAGUCACCAUUCCUCUGAAGAAAGCCAGAGCGGAAAAUGUCAGAGGAGUUGAUUCCCCGCUGACCAGAGCUGACGAAGUACCAGAGAUAUCACCCAUUCCUCUGGCGAUAGCAGAGAAUUCACCGUUCCUCUGGCAAAUGCCAGAGAGAUCAUCAUUCCGCUGGCGACCCAUUUCUCUGGCGAGGUCAGGGAAAUCAUCCAUUCCUCUGGCGAGAGCUGCGAAGUCGGCGCAAGUGGGAGAGUUUCUUCGGAGUGCGCAUCUAGCUGGAGAGUUGCCUUAAUUCACACGAUUCUAUUGCCAUUAGAAUUCUACUUUGCAUGGCAACUUUUAUGGUGAUCCAAAGGAAAUCUGAAGCUUAUAAAUAGGCCUUCCUUUGACCUAUUAAAGGAGAACCCCGAACCCUAGUAUUCAUACUUUAGUUUUUAGCUUUAGAAUUUUAUUGCUUUCUAGUUUUUAAGGUUUGGAUCAAGAUUGAAGAUUCAAGCCGCUACAAUAAUUUAAUUCGGUUUUAUAUAAUUAGUUUUUACAAUUGCAUUCUUUUUAAUUAUGUUUAUGUUUUAUUUAGCAUGUCUGGCUAGUUCCCUUUAGCUGAUUCUAGGGUUUGUAAAUAGUUGAUUGAAUUUAUGUGAUUUAUUUGUUAAUACCUUUGUGCCUUCCAGUUUAUGAUUCAUAAUUCCUGGUGCUUGAAUUCUUGUGAAUUAUCUGAUCAAUAGUUUGCAUGUUUAGCUAUUCGGUUUGAGACCUAGCGGAGAUAACUGUUUAGCGGAUUCAGGAAUGUAUGAUAUGAUUUUAACCUUGAGACCUAGCGGAGAUAGGUGGAUCAUAGGGAGCUAUUCUUAGGAACUUUUGGGAGUUAGUAGAUUUUCUUGAGACCUAGCGGAGAUAGAGAAUUUACUAAUCUACGAUCGUUGCUGCUCUAGCGAGAGUAAUUGAUUAAUUAAGUGAUCUCUCAUCAUAACUGGAUUAAACUGGUACAUAGGAUUAAUAGAUUUAUUUCGUAGAUUUAAUUGAUGAAUUUACUACCCUAGGAUCAGUUGUCUUUUAUACUUGGUAUUUCCUAAGUGAUUUUAAUUAUUGUUAUUUGCGUUUUAAUUAAUUAAACCGUCCUUCUUUUGUUUGCCUGAAUAUUACUAGAGUUCAAUUAGGAUUACUUAGAGUGAUUCGUUGUAAUAGUCCCUGUGGAUACGAUACUCGGUUACUUGUUAUAUGUGCUACAAUUACACCGUGUUAGUUGUGGUAAUUUGUUGCUAAUAAAUUAGUGAUCAAGCUCUGAUUAGCCCUAGAUGAACUCAUCUUCAACUGUGCUAUUGCUACACUUUAUGCCUAUUGCUAGUUUCCUAAUAGUUCAUAUUCUACACAGCUCAAAACUUUGAAUUUGUGCUAAAUCUAUUUGAACUCUCUUUGUGAAUCGUGGUGCAUUUUUUUUCGUGCUUAAAUAAUAACUUGACCUUGUGUUUUUUGUUUCUUUGCUUUAGUCCAUAGACGAGUGGUUGUCCGCCUCGAUGAGUUGAAAAUGGCGGUUGCUUCCUUCAAGUUUUGGAGAAGAAAUUGCACAACAAGGUUCUUUUUGUUGCUCACUAUAUAACAUCCUUCAAGUGCAUUGAUAUGAAUUUUUUGAAGAGGAAGACACAAGACGAAGAUGAAGAAAGGUGAAGAAAUAUUGGUGUACUUAUACAUUCUGUUUAGAGGUAAAGUUUAAGUUUUAAAAACAUUUUGGCUGUUUCCUUUCUGGCGCCAGAAAAUCCGAUUCGGCUUUUGUAUGGAAGAUUGAAUUUUGUUCCUAAUUUUUGAAUUCAGCCACCAUUUAUAUGAAAUAUUGCAAUCUCAAAUUUUAGUUCCUUAUUUUUUAAUUCAACUGCCAUUUUGUGUCUUCAAUCAGCAGCAGUUUAACUUAAAUUGAACAACCAUUUUAAUUUAAUUCAGUUUCUAGUAUAAAAUGCACUCCAAUCAGCAGCAGUUUAACUUAAAUUGAACAACCAUUUUAAUUUAAUUCAGUUUCUAGUAUAAAAUGUACUAAGUCAAUGAAGAUGAUUAAACAAAAAGUAGGAGUAUAAUUAAAAUGCUAAAGUUGUGAGGGCAACACCACUUUUCUUCCAUUUUUUUUAAUCUCCGUGCCAAAAAGAAAUGAACCUGUGUUAGAUUGAGACGGAGGGAGUGUAUUUAAUGUGAUUGGUUGAAAUAUUACUUUUUAAAUCAUUAAAAUAAGAUGUUAAACAAUAAGAAUAAAAAUAUUUUAAAAAAAAUACUACUCCCUCCGUCCCACUAAGCAUGACUCCUUAUUUUUGGCACAAUUAUUAAAAAGAAAAAUGAUUAAAGAAGAAAAGUGAUAAAAAAAAAUGGUGGAAUGGAAUCCACAACUUUUUAUAAUACAAAGGGAUUUCCUUUUUUGUAGAGGGUCAUUUGUACUAAUGGAGCAACCUAAAAUGACAAGGGGGAAUGAAAGUAUUUCUCCCACAAGCAUACAACAAUAAGAGGGGGUAAUUUUUCUUUGCGUUCCCUGCCUCCUUAGGGUUUUGUCCUCUCUAGAGUUUUGUUCUAGGUUUUGUCCUACUCGUUUGACGGCGUGACGUCUCUACCUUGAUCUUCGUUCACUGGUGUCUCCCCUCUGUCUUCCUUUUGUCGUCCUCCUCUCUUUCUGUGCCCUCGUCUUCUGUCUCCUUUUCUCUGCCCCUUCGAGCCCUUGCUUGUGCAGGUGUUUCUCUUUUUUGUGUUUAGGUUUUCUUGGUGGCGGCUGUUCUGGAUUGGUGUUUUUGCCCUCUUUUCUUUUCUGUUUUUGAUUUCAGGUUAUGGAGCGAGGAGGUUCUUCGCGGGAUUAUGGGUAUGGCUCGAAUCCGGAGAAUCGACUGAACGGGAAUCCGAAGUUGUGACAUUGGCCCUUGCCUCCCAUAACCCUACUUCUGCUCAAGCAACACUUGCAUGGUUGGCGUCUGGUGAGCCAAAAACCCCCAAUGGCUAUCAUCUUAUUGAGGUUAUGACAAAUCCUGGAAAUCUCGCUGCAAUGUGACGGGGCGAGAGUGGAAGAAAAACUUGUUCCUUUUCAAUUUUGAGAACGAGGAUGAUAGAGAAUGGGUCAUAAAGAGGUAGCCGUGGCAUUUUGAUGGCAACCUCCUUGCUAUUGCGGCGCUUGAUGGGGCGGUUCAACCCUCAAGUAUAAAACUAACCCACUGUUCUUUCUGGGUAAGGGCGUAUGACCUGCCCAUGAGAUGCAUGACGGAAGACACUCUUCGGAAUAUAGGCCAGAAAAUUGGAGUGAUUGAUGAACUGGAUCUUGAAGCUAACUAUCAAGGGUGCUUUGCUCGCUUCAAAAUUAGUUUCGAUGUUUCUCAACCACUUCUGAGAGGUGUGACUAUCAUGUUCGAUGGACAGAAGCUCUGGAUUCCACUAAAAUAUGAGAAUCUUCCCAUCUACUGCUACAAAUGUGGUACUAUUGGGCACCAGACCAGAUCUUAUGAAAGGAGUGUUGACGAUGAUGAAGAUGGAACUCAGUAUGAUGACCUUAUGUAGGACCUGCUCUUAAGGCUUCACCCCUCAAACGAACUAGAACCCAACACCAAAAGACGCUGCUGCUGCCACUCAACCCCUAAUCCGUCGAAACCUGGCCCGUGGCCCUUUCAAGCCACGCCCACCACCCUUCCAUACAAUCCGUCCCCUGAGAACUCUCCUCCCCUUACCACCACAUCUUCCACAAAAAAACUCAUCUCACUAAAGCUGCUACCAACCCCCAUAAUAACUCAUGCACUCACAUAUCUUCAGAUCCCUACCAGACCUUUCGACAGCCUGAUGCUGAUGCUAUCAACCCCGAAAAAACUCAUCUCACAUCAAAAGUCCUUAGUUUACCUGAAGCCACAGACAGUUACACACCAACCAAAGAUCUUUUAGCCCGUCUUAACAUCCCUCACUCCACGAGUACCCUCCACUCCAAUACACCGGGCUCAGCUUUACUUACAACCCCUACUCCCAAAAAAUGGUCCAGACAUCAGAGGAACCCAACCAUUACUACUACUGAAACUGACCCUCCCAAACCUAAGAGCCUUUUCCCUAUGGAUAUUUCCAGAAAACGUCAUUUGCGCGAGGAGGAAAAUGACGUUUCUUUUGUCAAUAUGGAAGAUGUUGAUCUUGUUCAGAAACGACUCAAGGGAACCCUUCUUACUGACUCUACCACCUCAGCUGCACUAUCGGCGGAGAUUGCUUUUGAGCAAUCCCGCCGGGCACAAUGAAUUCGCUAGUUUGGAACUGUCGAGGGCUUGGGAACCCAUCGACAGUUCGUCAGCUGGUUUGGUUAACCAAACAAAAGAAACCCAGCAUUGUUUUCUUAAUGGAAACAAAGCUUGUCCGUGAUGAGUGGCAGCCGAUCCUAUCCAAGGUUGCUUUUGAAAACUUCUUUGUUGUUGAUUGCUCGCGGGAUGGAGGCGGGCGGAGUGGUGGGCUUUGUCUCAUCUGGACGGAUGAUAUUAUCCUGGAUAUCAAAUCUCAUUCUACCAACCAUAUUUUGGCUCAAGUGUCUGGCUCUAGCUUUCCUGAGCAGUGGGAUUUUUGUGGGAUUUAUGGGUGGAGUCGUACGGAGGAUCACAAGCUCACCUGGGAUCUUAUGAUGCGUCUUCUCCCGUUGUGUAACACGAGAUGGAUUUGUGGUGGGGAUUUUAACGAAACUCUUUAUCAUUUUGAGAAGCGGGGUGGGCAGGCGAAGGCGGACUCUAGACUCCAAGCUUUCAGGGAUGUCAUUGAUCACUGUGGGCUUAUUGACUUGGGCUACGAGGGUGAUCCGUACACUUGGUCAAAUAACCAGCAGGGUGAUGCCCAUAUCAUGGAAAGGAUUGAUAGAUUUUUUGGAAGCAGCUGUGGAUUGAAGAGCAUAUGGGGUACAAGGUGUCUCAUCUUCCAAGGAAAUCCAGUGACCAUUGCCCUCUUUUUCUCUGUGAUGAGACGCUGGAGGUUGAAGAUCCUUAUCGGAGUCGCCCGUUUCGGUUCGAGGCGAUGUGGUUAAAGGAUGAUCGUUGUAAACUUGUGUGCGAAGAUUUAUGGAACAUGGGUGGAGGCUUUUCUACCGCUAAUGACACCAAACAAAAGCUAGCUGAUAUGGGAAGAGAAUUGAAGCUUUGGGAGAGGCACAAAUUUGGGCAUAUUAGGAAGACUACAGCCAUGCUCCGUCAAAGGCUAGCGGAGUUGCAGAGACCCUAUUGUGAUGCAAAUACUAAAGACGAACAGAUGCAGGUUGAGUCGGAGCUUGACGACUUGCUUAACAAGGAGGAGAUUAUGUGGAAGCAGCGGUCCCGAGCGGACUGGCUUGUGGAGGGGGACCGCAACACCGGGUUCUUCCAUAAAGUUGCAGCGGGAAGGAAAAAACGCAAUCACAUUAAAUAUAUCCAUUGUCCCGAUGGACGAGUUACUAAGAACAAUAAGGAGAUUGAGAGGGUGUUUCAGGAGUACUUUCAGGACCUUUUUUCGGUAGGCCAUACCCUUGAUCCUGCGUCGAUUCUUCAAGCUGUUGAACCUGUAGUCACUUCGGAAAUGAACAGGGUGCUCACCUCCCCCUACACCGCCGCUGAGAUUGUCUAUGCGCUAAAACAGAUGCACCCUCUGAAAGCGCCUGGACCGGACGGUAUGCCGGUUAUCUUUACUCCUCUUGUUGGAAUUUUUUGAGUAUUGAUCUGCUACCUGUUUUACUUAGUAUCCUGAAUGGGGGGGCGAGUCCGGGUCCGCUAAAUUCCACUUAUAUUUGCCUCAUCCCAAAGAAAAAAAACUGUGUUUGUCCAGCUGACUACCGCCCCAUUAGUUUGUGUAAUGUGGUGUACAAAAUAAUUUCUAAGGUCAUCACUAAUAGACUCAAAAUGGUUCCACCUGAUAUUAUUAACGAACACCAGUCUGCUUUUGUUCCAGGUCGUCAUAUUACCGAUAAUGCACUCUUAGCUUUUGAAAUUUUCCACAUGAUGAAGAUUAACAAGGCUAGUAAGAAAGGUGUUUUUGCUUUUAAACUUGACAUGGCUAAGGCUUAUGAUCGCGUCGAGUGGGGUUUCUUAGAAGCUAUGAUGAGUCGUUUGGGUUUCCAUGAAUCUGUUGUUGCUUUGAUUAUGCGGUGUGUUAAGACGGUCUCUUUUCAAGUGUUGGUGAAUGGCUUUCCUGGCGAUUCGUUUACUCCUAGCCGGGGCUUACGGCAAGGAGACCCCCUUUUUCCUUAUCUUUUCUUGUUUGUUGCUGAAGCGCUUUCAGGUCUCCUUCGGAGAGCAGAAACUCAGAACUUGUUGAAUGGGGCUCGUCUUUGCCGCUCGAGCCCGAGAGUUAGCCACCUGUUGUUUGCUGAUGAUUGCAUCAUCUUUGGGAGGGCUUGUCACGAAGAGAUUGAGAAGGUUAAGGAGAUUCUUUCUAGUUAUGAAGGUGUCUCUGGUCAAAUGGUGAGUUUAGACAAGUCCUCAAUCACUUUUAGCGGAGGAGUUGUUGAGGAGCUUCGGACAAGCCUUGCUGAUCAACUUGGCGUUAGUAGAGGUACUUCUAAUGGGAAAUAUCUUGGGAUUCCUAGCACGGUGGGGCGCUCCAGAACUGAAAUAUUCCAGAUGCUGGUGGAUAGGACCCGCAAAAAAGCCAAGGAUUGGAAGAGGAGAUAUCUUUCCGGAGCAGGCAAGGUUGUUCUCAUCAAAUCUGUUCUGCAGUCUAUUCCUUCGUAUCUCAUGAGUUGUUUUUGCCUUCCGGAUCAACUCUGUCAGCAACUUAACAGUUUGGCUACUAGCUUCUUUUGGGGCCAAAAGAAUGAUGAACGCCGAAUCCAUUGGCGUAGCUGGAAACGGCUCUGCAUACCGAAAUCUCAAGGUGGCCUCGAAUUUCGGGACAUUAGCCUGUUUAAUCAAGCCAUGCUCGCCAAACAGGCAUGGCGCUUGCAGCAUGCUGAUGGCUCUCUUUUGGCACGUUCCCUUAAAGCCAGGUAUUACCCGAGGUCUGAUUUCCUCCUUGCACCCAAUGCCCAUACUCCCUCUUUUGUGUGGAGAAGCUUGGUUGUAGGACGGAACUUGUUGGCGGAAGGAAUUGCUUGGCGUAUUGGGGAUGGUAGAAGAGUCCGGAUUGGUGAGGACGCAUGGCUGCCGGAUGGAGACGGGUCUUUUACGAAGGGCUGUGUUAGUGAAGCUUGGAGGAGAGGCAUGUGGUGGAUCUGUUUUCUGAGGAAAAUGAGAGUUGGGAUAGGGAGAAGAUUGCUAUGAUCUUCCCGGCUGGGGAUCGAUGGAAGUUUGGAGAUCACUUGCUCUGCAAUCAGCAUGUCCCUGAUCGGAUUUUCUGGCCGGCGGCAAAGUUUGGAUGCUACACGGUGAAAUCUGGCUAUCAUAUUGCAUGCAUGCUUAAACAACGCUCUGACCCGGCGUCGUCUUGCUCGGAUGACGCCUUGUGGAAUUGGGUUUGGAAGAUGGAUGUUAUCCCGAAAGUCAAAUUAUUUAUGUGGAAAUGCUUGAGCGGGGCCAUCCCGACGACUACUUCUCUCCGCCAACGAUCCAUUAGUAUUGAUCCGAUCUGCCAAAGAUGUGGUAUUCAUGCAGAAACUUUGGAACAUGCACUUCGAGAUUGCCCGUGGGCUCAGUUUCUCUGGGCUGCUUCGCCUCUUCGCCUUCAGCCUCUACCUGAUUCGGCGUUGUGCUCCAUCAAAGAUUGGUUCGACUUCUUCCGUGAGAAUCAUCCUAAAGAACCCCAAAAUCUCUUUGUCGUCCUCUGUUGGACUGUGUGGUAUGCUAGAAACUUGAGAACUUUCCAAGAUAAAACUCUUAGCCAUCAAGAUUGCUUCUCGAUCGCGCAGCAUUCAAUGUGGAGCAAAACCGUGAGUAUUCCACAGGCCCGGGUCUCUCGUGCCCCCUCUUUGAGGUGUGAGGAAAACCAGUGGAAGGUGAGCUGUGAUGCCGCUUUUGCUAGAGGUGUGGGUGUGGGUUUGGCAGCUGUGCUUACGGAUGCGGCCGGUGUGGUUUCUGGAUGCCGGUUCGGGUUUGUGGAAGGAGCGUUUACGACUGAAGAAGGGGUGGGCUUGGCUGUUGCGGAAGGUCUGCGCCUAUGCAAAGAGUGGAGGAAAGAGGAUGUUAUUGUAGAAAUGGACUGCCAGAACCUCUUUUGGAAGCUCACCAACUCUUCUACUGACUUCUCUUAUGUGGGUGCUGCUCUGUGGGAUAUUUGUGCGAUUGCUACUAGCUUUCGUCGUGUUUUCUACAGCUGGACUCCCAGGGAGGGUAAUAGUAUUGCUGAUAAGUUAGCUAAGCAUGCUACUGUUUUGCGCAAUGUUUCUUUCUUUACUGGUGUUGUCCCCAGUACUCUUGUUGACUCUCUUGCUUGAUUUAUAAAGUGCUGGCUUUGUUCUCAAAAAACAAAAAAAAAAAAUGACAAGGGGGAUGUAUAUUAAAUGGGAGGGAGGAGUAUUACUGAAAAAAAACUAAAAAUAUAUAAAAAAUAAUUCUAAACUUAAAUAUUUCAUAUGUUAAAAAAAGAAAAAGAAAAAAAAACAAUGUUCCUUGAUGUUGUUCUCUCUCAUACCCCAAGGUCCCCAACCCAAAAAACCCUUUUCUUCUUCCCCCUAAAACCCUUAUUCCUGAAAUCCCCAAAUUUACAUCGAGAAGAUUCCAUCUCCUACGACGAUAUUGUGCAGCCAUAACUCAAGUCGCCGAAAGUUUAUUCAUUUGCAGUCCAGGAGAAGAGAGGGGCAAACGUGCAGUUAGACGCCAUUUACUCGUUUAAUCCUGGUUAGACUUCUCCCCCUCUCUAGAAAUUUCAAAAAUAAUUAAGGUUUCCGGUGGUCUCAGUUUCAUUGACUGCCAUUUUGCUAUAUAUAUAUAUUUUUUUUGGUGUUUUCUAUUGCUAGACGAUAUUGGGUAUUUGAUUUCUACGUAGAACAAAACAUGACGACGGUUUGAUUUUGUUUCGAAUUUCCUGAUAUUCAUUGUUGAUGAGAACGCGCAUUUAAAUGUGGUUUUUUGUUUGUUGUAGCUUAACCUGUUUUGAGACUCGGAUUAUUGCCAUAGUUCUGUUUUGAUAGACCAAGUUAUUCGGUGAAGUAGAUUCCGUCAAAAUCAAUCUAAUGAAUUUUUACAAUGUUUUUACCUGUUUUCUACUAUGAAUUCAACUCCUUUAAUCUCUCCAUCAGAUUGUUUUCCCGAGUCUACUAGGCAGAAUUUCGGAUAUUUUCCCAGUUGUAAAUCAAAUAUUAUUUCUGCUUUGAGUUCUUAUGUAUUGAUCAACCAACACUUUUAAUUGUCGCUGCUUCGAGUUCUACCAUCUCUAGGUAAUAAAACUUGUUUGCAUCUUGCAUCCCUAUCUGAUAAGUAUUAUUGGAGUUCAUUUUGAACUUAAUUUAUUAGACUUUAUUGGAAUGACAUGAGCAUCUUUCUAUGAGCGAAAACCGUUGUCUUGUGGUAGCCAACAUUGAGAACAGUUAUCUAUGAGCGAAAGCCGUUUUUGUUGGUGUCUACAUCAAAGGCUGCCUAUGAGCGCCUUUUUUCAGACACUAUUGGAUGACAAUAAGCCGUUGUCGUAGCCUUUUUUCUUGUAGUGGUUUUUAUUUUUUACUAUAUUAAUUGAUGAAGCUGAAAUCAACGAUAUUUCAAUCACAAUAUUUUCCACCAUAUCAUCUAGUUCACAAGAAAGCAUUUUAUGCUUCUGUUCAUAAUGUCCAAAAAUAUAUAAAAGUUCUUCAUCUUGUGACAAGUUAGGGGAACAAAAAGUACUCUUUUAAUUUACAAAGCAUAUAAAAAAUAUUAGGAAAUAUCGCUUCUUUUUUACAUGAUAUAACAAUAAGUAAAUUAGAUAAAAUACCAUGAAUGACAAUUCAGCUUUAACCAAAUAUGGAAACCCAAAUGGAAAGAAAUGAAUUAACUUCAAUGCUUGGAGAGUUUGCGUACAUAUGUAUACAUAAUACAUAUAGUCAUAUACAUCUUUGUAAUACUUGAGACUUCUAUCAUACCUGCUCUCUCUCUUACCACUUGAUUUUUUAACCUUUACCGCCCAUAACCCCAAAGUCGUCACUUGCCAGCGCUUUCCGGAGUAACUAGUUAUUUAUUAAAAGAAAGAAGAAAAAUGAAGAUAAAAGAGAGAUAAAACACCCAUCAUUUUUUUAUCCUUCUUGAGCCCUAAUUCCCCUUCUCGUCUGCAUCUUCAAUUCCAGAGUUUGGGGACACAGCAGCAGAUUCAAGAAAAGGUAUUUGUGGAAGAUGAUUUCACCUUACAUUUCUUUUUUAUGGUGAAGAUAUUGAAUGAAUUUUGUUGGUGGAAUUACUGCAAUCGAUGUUUAUGCGUAAAUUGCUGAAAUCACGUUUGAAAUUUUGAAAUUGACGCUUAUUCAAAUAUGCCUGCAUCUCUUGAUUCCUACAUUCUCGCAUCGCCUCAGUGCCUCGAGGCGGCCGCCUUUCGCCGACGAGGCGUGCAUACACGAAAAUCUUACAGAGGCGCACAUAUUGGUGCUCUUCAGCGUUGAGUUGCCUUGAGGCGGCCUCAAGGUGUCCACCUCCAGCGAUUUUCACAACAUUGGCUUUGUCAUCUCUGAUUUCUAGAGAGAAACUUAUUGGGAGAUGAAGAAAGAAUUUGUUUGACGCUUCACUCAGUCAAUAAUAUGAUUUUAAUUAUAUGCUCUUCUCUAUUUUCUUACACAAUUGAAAAAUCUGUUCUGUCUUCUGAAAGCCUGAAAGUAGAUUGUAAUAUAUUUUAAAAUACAUAUUUUCCUCCGCAAACCAAUAAAUAUCACGCAUUGAUGUGUAAAAGACAUUUCAUGGUCACCUUCAUGGUCUGUAAUGAUGAAAAUAAUCACAAAUAAUUGGUGCUAUGUAGGUGUAGGUGAUAUAGUUUAUGAUAUUUCCUGAUAAAUGCUUGGGGUGAAACCCUUAUUCUGGUGUUUGAAAGGUCAGUUUCAUUUGGAGACUUUGAUGAGGAAAAAGAAGGAUGGAAAAUGUGAUCUCCUAUGCAUCUAGUCCAAACCUUGUCGUGAAGUUCAGUCACUGGAAAAUCUGUUUUAGUCGGCUAUCUCUCCAGUGCUAAAUGGUUAAUCUUUUGCUAUCCUCUUCCAGUGUCAUGGAGCACGGGUCGAUCCAGGAUCAAUCACAAGCAACAUUCUCGUUGACAGAUGAAGACCAUACUCUAGCAAACUCAGUUAGAUAUAUUCUUAAUCAAGAGUAAGUUUUACCACUCUUGUAAUCUGGAAUGCGAGUGAGGGGGUGUAGUGGUGAAUGCAUUCUUCAUACAGGCAUAACCAGUCUUUUGUAAUAAAAUGAUCAUGUUUGGCGUCAACUGUUAUUUUCCUUAUUCAUUAUCGGGGUCAGAGCACACUAACGAGGAAUAAAUGUCCUUGCAGCCCAAGAGUAACAUUUUGCGGUUACAGCAUACCACACCCUUCCGAUGCUCGGGUGAACAUAAGAGUGCAGACUACUGGUAAAGUUUGUUAACCUUUCUUGGGAACGAUAUGCCAAUUCAGCUAGUAUAACAAACAAAUGUGAAAUCUCCCUUGCUUAAUGCUACGAGAAUGGACAAGUAACUUGCAUUUAUGUUCAUAAUGAUUUAGAACUUCUCUUUUCUAUGUUCAAAUUAAUAGGCAACUUCCACACAUCUAUCCAAGCAAACAUAUUCUCUUCCUUUGUGUGUGAAUAUUCCCAUUUUUGCACAAUGACUGCAGGUGACCCAGCACGCGAGGUAUUGAAAGAUUCGUGCCAGGAUCUAAUGCUAGUAUGCAAGCAUGUUACGAGCACCUUUGAUCAGGCUGUUAUGGAGUUCAAGAGUAAGCAAGGCAUAGAAUCCAUGAAUAUUACACCCUAAUAUAAAUGGUGCCCUUUUAAAUUUAAGCCAUAUUUCUAUGUAGAAGAAGUUAUCAUAUAUGAGAAAUCUUAAGCCAUUUAUCAGUGUUUUGGUUUCUGUUGUUUCGUGUUGCUACCUUUUUGUAGUUAUUUCUAACUCUUCAUGUUAGAUGGAGGUCAUUUCGGCAAACAAAUAUUAAUUGAUCCAAAAUCAUUGCACCAGAUGAUAUGUGAUAUUGAAGUUUACAACUAUUACUAAGUUUUAGUAUUUUGAUUUUUGAGGGGUUGAAGUUGUAGUUCAACAACAAACUCAUUAAGUUAAACAAAUUCAAUUCGUUCGAAAUUUGAAGAGGACCAAUGGUUUUUCAACUUUGUUAUUGCAGUGUGUAUAAUUAUUACUAGUGUAUGUAAACACUGAGAUUAUGUAAGAUGUACGUAUUUUCAUGACCGUUUUUAAAAUUUAAGCAUACCUUUUUAAAUUUUGCAAUUCUAGUAAUUAAUCUGUUGCAAUUUAUUACAGUUCCAUGCUUGUCUUCUGACUUGGACGAAAUCAAAGUGAAGUCUCUAUGUAUUAAUCUGACAUGUGUUGGGUAAAAUGUCAUGCUUUCAUUCGUUAUAGUAUAAAAUUAACCAUAUUACUGUCAGAUCAAUACAUGCACACACUUAGAUCUAACUUUAUUGCUACUCUUGAGAAUCAUUUGUUAUAUAAAAUGUUACUAUUAGAACUUUACAAAUGAGUAUUAAAUUUUGUUGAACAUUAUUGACAAAGUUGCAAUUGUAAUGACUAAAUAUAAUAAGCUAGAGAUUGUCUUUUUGUCAUGAAAAAAGAAAGGGUGAGAAAAAGAAGUUUGUUGUCUCCUCACAUUUUUUUAUUUGUAAAUUAAUGAUUUUUUGAAGAAAAAAAAUCAUUUACUACUAUAUAUGAAGUAAAACAUGAGCUACGCUUGUAUGCAGAAUAGCAGCUGAGGUUGUUAUAGGAAAUAAUUGCACAAGUUGACAAUAGAUUAAGGUUGUGAUAUAUUAAUAUCAUCCGACAUGAAAUCAAUUGACUAUCUGCCAAUCAUUGAAUGAUAGCUAAUCAAAUUUGAUCUUACAUAUUUUGGGUUAUUUCCUGCCUCUAAGAGUAGAAGUGGGGCCCUUAAAGUCUUCAACUUUCACCAGAUGUUGGUUAGGGACAUCCUCACAAUAAUUUGACAUGUUAUAUUUCAUGGUUACGCUUAAAUACGCGAACUUUGGACUUAUUUUGAUUUUUUAGAAUAUAUUUUAUACAAAACAGUAAAAUAAAUUAAAGUUCGUAUAUUUUUUGACAAUUUUUAAAAUUCGUGGAAAAAACAAAAAUAAGUUAAAAUUCGUGAAAAAAAAAAUCAAAAUUGAUCAAAAAUUCAUGUAUUUAGAUGCCAAUAAUCUUAUAUUUUAAUAAUAACACAGUAUUACUGUGUUAGAUUAUUAAUAUAGUUCUUCAUUUAUAAAAGCUUACAAAUACCAUUAAAUGUCAUAAUAUUUGACAUUUUUUUCAGAAACGGAAUAUACAUGUAUCCAACAGUGCCAUGGAUAUAUAUACGUAUAUCAUAAAAGAUUGUGAAGAAUUUUUUUUUGUGACACGUUAUAUUAAAAUUCUAAAAAAUUAAUCACUAAAUGUAAGAUAACAUUAUUUUAAUUUGACGUGGCACAAAAAAAUCCACACUUUUUCACUAUCACCUACCACAAGCCACAUGAACAUUCUCGUAAUGAGUUGGUUUUGGGUAUACCCGUAUAUAUCGUACAAUCGAAUUAUACAUUCACUUAAACUUUGACCCGCACCCUGAUUUGAACUCAUAUCUCGAUUCAACCCAUAUAAAUAAUACUAUUAUGGGUACGGGUCAAACCCGUUGUAUGGUACACCCAAGUGUACCCAAUAUUUUGUGUCUCGGCGUAAUUGAUAUGUGAUAUUUCAUCUGUCUCACAAAAAUAUGAAUAUUUAAUAGUGACACGAUUUUAAGAAAUAUUAUAUGAUGAUGUACCGUAAGUGAAAAAGGGGUCUCACUUUAUGAAAAUUAGAGAUAAAAAAAUAAAAGGAUUGUGGUGGUUUAAUGUACAAAAAUAGAAAUGUUCAUAUUUUUAUGAGACGACCAAAAACGGCAAAAUAUUCAUGUUUUUGUGAGACAAGUCGAGUAUCAUUAAAAAAAAUAUUAAAAUAUUGUGAUUCAAAUUUAAAGGUAUAACAUUAUUAAAAUAAAGAUAAAAUGUUAUAAUAACAUCAUCUGCUAUUUACCCUUUAUAACAUAAUAGUAUUACCUAAUGGGAUUUAUAUAAAAUGCGCAGGUGAUAUUCAAUAAAGUUAGGGGUUAGGAGUGUUUACUCUCCUUCUUGAUAAGAUGUACUCUCUCCGUCCAUAAAUAAUAUGUCUAAAUGACUUCGACACGAAUUUUAAAAAUUGUGUUAAGUGUUUGUGAGUGGGAUAUGAGUCUCAUAAUUUUUGUAGAUUUUUGUAAGUAUAAUAGUAAAAAGUGUUUGUGGGGUAUAUUAUCAUAAAUGAAUUAGGCAUAUUUUUUGGUGGACAAAUCAAAAUGACAGAAUAUGCAUAUUUUUGGUGGAUGAAGGGAGUAUUAUAAUUGAAUAUUUUUAUAAUUAAGAGUAAAAUUUCUUUAAUUUCACUCUUUUAAUAGAAUAUAAAUCAAAUAAAAUUAAUUUUUAUAAUAAAAAUAAGGCUUAAUUGCAUGAUAAUACACGAACUUUAGUCGCAUUUUCAUUUUGCACAUGACUUUUGAAAUUUACAUUUUAAAUCAUGAACUUUACAUUCGUUCCAAUUUUUCCUUAAAAUUGAGCUCCGGCCAUCGGAAAUCUGAUGUGUCUUAAAGAGUGCCACAUAUUCGUCUGACGUGUCUUUAAUUAAAACACAUCACCAGUAGGAAGGGGAACCACGCAAUCCAAUUGAAACACGUCACCACAGCAGGAUCCACAUGUAUUAUCCUUCAGCGCACCGAAUAAUUCCCCAAACACCGAGAUUUUUCCCUUCUUCACCGGCUCCGCUGCCACCGCGGCAGGCUCCUCGCGGACGAAGGUGAGGACGAGGACGGUGAGGAUUAGUAGGAGGGCGAUGGAGAUGAAGAAGCAGCUCUUGAGAUUGGCGCAGUAGAUGUUGCAGGUGUGGGUUUUGGAGAAGGGAAAAAUCCUGUAGAGGUGGGUGUAGGAGCCGGCGGCGUAGCCGAAGACGUUUCCGACCGCCAUGAUAAAUUCGCCGGCAAAGCUUUACAUGGCCCCUGCAAAACAUCACUGAUUACAUUAACGACAUAAUCCAUGCUCAUCAAUCAUCAUUAAACCCUAAAAAAUGGGGAAAUUUUACAUAAAUGCCAGCGAUCGAUAUAGUUUAUGCCCCUGACUGAAAUUGAAUUAUCUCAAAACAUAAGCACAAUUCAAUUUCUACCUGCAACAUGUUAUUAGCAACAUCGAGGAUCCAGAAUCCUACGACGAAAACGGCGAUGGCCCUAGGCUUAGGGCCCUUGCCGGAGGGAUCGCCGUCGGCGUGCCCUAAAUCAGCGGCGAACCCGACGAGCGCCGCUCCGGCAGUGAUGAAGGGGCGGCGCCGACUGAAGCGGGAGGUGCAGUUGUCACUAUAGUAUCCGACGAUGGACUGCACAAUCAGACCGAAAUUAGGCUGCACAGCCAGAUGAAGGCCGCCCACGUGUGGGGGAUUCCCAGCAGCUGCACGUAUGGAGUUAGGAGGGAGAGCUGUAGUCACAGACGAAAUCGACAUUUGCGCCAAUUUGGUGAGGAACCCUAAUAUGCGAAAUAGGAAUCAAAUGUGAUGAAAUGGGAAAAAUUGGUGACAUUUAAACCUAAUUGCGCCAAUUUCGAUGCCGUUUUCCUCUUUUAAAAACGACGGCGUCUAAGUUAUUUUCCGAUGAUUUAAAUGGCACAUGCCCGGCUGCCACAUAGGCUCCACAUCAGAUUUCCGAUGGCCGGAGCUUAAUUUUAAGGAAAAAUUGGAACGAAUGUAAAGUUCAUGAUUUAAAAUGUAAGUUUCAAAAGUCAUGUGCAAAAUGAAAAUGUGACUAAAGUUCGUGUAUUAUCAUGCAAUUAACCCUAAAAAUAAUUAAGGAUCUUGAGAUAUUUCAAAAUUUCAAUUUAUUUAAAAAUAAUAAUAAUAAUUUACUUAUUUUAUUGAUCAAGGCUAAUCUUAAAGAGUAAAUGUCUCGUUAAAAUAUCAUCUUCAAUAGAAGCGUAGCAGCUCAAUCAUACAAUUUAGAUUAAAUGUUCAAUCAGAUAUAUACUUUGAGGUGGACGUUAUCACUAUAUUUACUUUUUAUAACUUCACGCUUUAGAUCUUCUUAAUUCUUUCAAGUUAUAAUUGCUUUAACUUUAGAUUCUUUGCUUUAAUCAUAACUAUCAUCAAACUUUUAUUAAUUCAUCAUCUCACAAUCUCCAUUAUAGAUUCAACUUUUCGUUAUUUGCCAGCAGUUAUCAAUUACUACAAAUUAUUCGGUAAAUGACACUUUCUGUGCUUUCUUUUCUUACGAUGAUAUCAGUGGUCAAAGUAAAGUGAUUUAUUUUAAGGGCGAAGUAUAUUUAAAUAGUACCAAAAAAUUUCAUAUUACGGUAUUAUGUAGAUACUAAAUUAUUAUUAUUAUUAUUUAUAUUUUGAUUUGACAUCCAUUAAUUUGUCCUUCAUAGAACCUUUAAAAUCGAAUAACUCACCACCGUUGGCCACGUUUGACGUGGCCUUCAUAUGGCAUCCACGUGGAUAAAAGUUUAAUUCUUUUUAUUAAAACUAUUGACAAAAAUUAAAGAACUAGACUUUUGGUCGUGCGCGGUAGCCACUAGUCAAUUAUUCACUAUACUUUUGUUUCAAUUAUGUAACACGAUACUGUAACGUGCGUUCAAAAUAAAAUUUUGAAGGGGAAAUGGAUGAAGAAAACUGUGCUUAUUUAUACAAAAUCCUCAUCAUUCAUAAAAUAAGCGUAAUUACUCAAUGCCACAGAAAAGAAGAAUAUAAUACUUUCAUCCAUGCGGGUCCUGCAUUUGGUGAUAAUCCAAAAUCUCUAACUAUUUUACUUUGUUUUAGAAAUUAUAUUGUCCAAAUAGAAACAAGUAAUAAAUUUAUAAUGAUUGAUUAAGAGAUUAGUUAUUGGUAAGGCUGACAAUUUUAACACGAUACAAAAAUACGAUAUGAAAUUGCACGAAAUUAAUGUAUUAAUGUUAAGUUUUAUCGGGUUCGUGUCGACCUGAUAAGGACACAAUAAUUUCAUGUCAGAUUCGUGUCGAAUUCAUAUAGGGUUCAUGUAACUCGUUAAAUUUAUAGUGAUUGGUUAAGAGAUUAAUUAUUGGUAGGGCUAACAUUUUUAAACACGAUACAAAACUGCUCGAAAUUAAUGUAUUAGUGUCAAUAAAUAAAUUUAUAAUGAUUGGUUAAGAGAUUGAUUAUUGGUAGAGCUGACAAUUUUGAACACGAUAGGAAGCUGCACGAAAUUAAUGUAUUAGUGUCAAGCCUUAUCAAGUUCGUGUUAUUAUCAUGUCGACCUGGUAAGGACACAAUAAUUUCAUGUCGGGUACGUGUAACCUGUUAAAAUUAAUAUUAUUAUUUUUAUUAGAUAUUUAUUUUAAUUCUUAUUUUAAAGUUAGGAGUUUUGACCAUUUGAAAACUUUUUUUUCCUAAUCUCGUCCUCUGUUCUGUCGUUAAGUAACACAAAUUUUCAUACAAUUCCUUAUUUAUUUUAAUUUUUAUAUUUAUCAGGCCAUUUUUAAUCAAUGUUUUACUGGAUUGUGUCAUUUUUGUAUCGAUUUCGUGUCAUGCCAACACGAUUCAAAUCGCGUUGCUAUCGUUUUUCGUGUUGUGUUCGUGUCGUGUUCAUAUUUGUGUAGAUUGUAUCGUGUUCGUGUCGAGAAAUUUCUUAACAAGUCAUGUUCGUAGUUGACCUUAUCGUGUCGACUCGAUAACGAUCCGACACACAUGAUUUGUCAGCCCUAAUUACUAGCACAUAAAGCAGACAAAACAAAUACGGACAAUUAUUUUUAAAAAAACAAUAUGAAUAAUUAAGGUGGGACUCAUAUAUAGGCAUGUUAAGAAAUCGAACUUACUGUAAAUAAAUUGAAUUGAUCUGGUUCCCAUUGGUUCGAUUUGUUUUCUAGAGAAUUUUCGAAUUUCAUUCUUUAUUCAAUUUUAAUGUAAUUAGUCCUCUUGCAGCAGAAAAGUAGAAUAUCCUGGCUUCAGGAUGGUGAUCGCAAUACUGAAUUUUUCCACAAGAUGCUUCGUCUCAGGAAUUCUAAUCUUCUCAUUGGUCACCUUAAUAUUAAUGGUAAUAUCACUUAUGAUCAGGAAGAUAUUGAGCGCCAUAUUGUCAAUCAUUUCACCAAUCUUUUCUCUCAAGGGGCGAGCGGUAAUAUUGAUUUAACUGAGCUUGAAGCCAAUCUGGAUGCCAAAGUUUCUGAGGAGCAGAAUUUGGAGCUCACUGCUAUUCCUUCGGAUUUGGAGAUCUAUGCUACGGUCAUGAGCAUGGACACCAAUAGUGCUCCUGGUCCCGAUGGGUUCUCGGGUCUCUUCUUCCAAAAUUGUUGGAACACGGUCCGUGAUGAUGUGAUUAGAGCGGUUCGGGGCUUCUUCCUUAAUUCUUAUUUGCCGAACGGAUGCAAUGCGAACACUCUUAUCUUGAUUCCUAAGGUUGACGAUGUCAAAUCUAUUUCUGACCUCAGGCCUAUCAUUCUUUCGAACUUUUUCUUCAAAAUAAUCUCGAAGAUUAUGGCGGUUUGCUUGAACAAGGUGGCAACUGUUGUGGUCUCGCCUAAUCAGUUCGGCUUCAUAAGUGGGCGCUCGAUCCAUGAUUGCAUCAUGUUGGGCUCAGAGGGAUUCAAUUGCAUGGAUCGUACUGCACGUGGAUCAAAUAUGGCUUGUAAAAUCGACAUCAAGAAGGCGUUUGACACCAUGAGUUGGGACUUCAUCCUCAAAGUCUUGAGGGUAAUGGGUUUCCAUCAGCAGUUUCUCACCUGGAUUUCCAUUAUCUUCAGCUCUGCCCGUAUCUCCAUUCUUUAUAACGGGCGGCUUAGCGGUUAUUUCGCUUGUACUAGAGGAGUUAGACAAGGGGAUCCCUUAUCUCCCAUUCUUUUCGGUAUUGCCGAGGAUAUGUUAAGUCAGAUUCUCAUAAACUGUGUUGCCUCGCGCCAUCUCAUCCCCAUGAGCUACAGCCGUUCUCUUUUCUUUCCUACGCACCUGCUCUACGCGGAUGACAUUUUGCUUUUCUGUAGAGCUUCGACUCGUAAUGCGAAGAAGGUUAAGCACAUCCUGGAGUAUUAUGGCUCUCUUUCUGGGCAGAUUUGCAGCCUGGAAAAGUCUCGUAUCUACUUUGGGAAAGACGUCAGUACUUUGAUAAAACGAGGCAUCAACCGGGUUUUGGGUUUCACGCAAGGGGGUGAGCAGGUGAACUACUUAGGGGCCCCUCUUUUUGUGGGAAGGCCUCGCGUUUCUCACUUUAUGAGCAUUAAGGACCGCAUUGUGCAAAACUUUUCGAGAUGGGCGGGUCUUCAUCUUUCGAUGGCAGGACGUCUUUGUCUUGUUAAAUCUGUCAUCCAGAGCUCCAUCAUUCAUACCAUGAUGGUUUAUCACUGGCCAAAGUCGCUCCUUCAUGAGUGUUAGGUCCUGAGGGUCUCGAAUAGGUGUAUGGGGGGGAUACACCUAUGGGCUAUUUUUAAACAAAUCCUCAAUCAGAGGGAUCUCAGUCAGAGAUCAAAAUGAAACUUUACAUGCAAACAAAGACGCCUGUUUUACUGAAAUCAGUUUUGACCAAACAGGGUUGACGACUGAUACUGAAAGCUCUUCAGUAAAGAGUUAUCAGUUAAGUUGCUGGAACUUAACUGAUGCAAGUAAGGGCUUCAGUCGAGUUUGCUAAAACAGAGAUGAUAACACUCUUCCUGACUAUAAGAAGAUAGAUCAGUCAGACUGAUAUCAUACGCAACGGAAAUUAAACUUAGUUUCGCAAUAGCCUCGGUGGAGCACGUUGUUGGUUAUUAGGUUUCUCUUUGCAGUUAAUCAGUAUUCAGUUUAUCAAUUGAAAUAACACAAGUAAGAAUGUAAAACUGAAAACUGUAAAUAACACAGAGACUUUUACGUGGUUCGGAAAAACCCUUUCCUACAUCCACGGUUGGUUGAUCAGACCAACAAUCCACUCCGCAAGUGCUUAACAGGUGCACUGCAAACCAAACCGUGUGCUUGUCGGGUGCACACAACCGUACCACUGAAGAAAACCCUUCUUCAGUACCCACGCUUCACUCGCGUCGGAUUUCUCUUGCUUAGCACAACACGCGCUAAGACUCUCAGAGACGAAAACUCAGCUGAACUCCGAAACACUCAAACACUCUUAUGGGGGGGAGGUUUGAACGAGUGCCAACUAUACUUACAAAGAACAAGUUCUUUGAAGCAAGUUUGACCUUUGGCUUCUGGGUAAACAGAGGUUUGCCUAAGGUCUAAGAGAAUGUGUGUAAUCAGCAGUGACUGAUUUUGGCUUUGGAAUUCUCUUCUUCGAUUCAAGCUUUGGGGAGGUUAAGCUUUAGGCUGAGUAGAAAUUUCGGCAGAGCUUCAGCUUAUGUCGUUGAAUCGGUGAAGGUUGAAGUGAUCCUUGAGCGCUAUUUGUAGGAGAACUCUUGAAUAGAUCCGUUGGCGUAGAUCGUCCUCAAGAUUUCUUCCGUUGGAAAUAAAUUCGAAUUUGGGCUGAGGCUUCAAUCUUCGAGGUUCCUUGUCUGGGUGGAAAUGGCUCUCUUUGAUGGACAGGAGAUGUGACGUCUCUGAAAAGUAACCACCAGAUAGGAAUGACCUCUGCAGAGAUAAGAUCCUGAGAUCUCUGCAUUUAAUGCGGCUGUACUUUGUGAGUACGUGGCUUCCUCUGAACGUUGGAAGAUCAGUCCGAGGAGGAAUAUUCAACUGAUACUUGACUUUAGUAUCAGUCCAUUGCGCGCAUUAAGUAAUCAGUCUUCAACUGAUUCUUCAACUGAUACUUCAGUUGGUAUCUGCAGUCUUCAGUCUUCAGUCCUUCGUUCUUUAGUCUUCGACACCGCAAGCUAAACUAGUGUUAGUCAAAAAAGGGUGGCUACUUUCCACCAUCAUGUUUUUUCUUCAAAAGUUGCGGCUGCAACAUUCAACAAAGGCAGCAAACAAUUUUUCCAUCUUGGCUGCCACCUACCACCUCCCCUGCCUAUAUAAUGAUCCUCGCAGCAGCAUCCCAACACCACCCAGAACCCCAAAACCCCCAGAACAACACCAGAGAAGGGUGUGAUAUUAGAGAGAGAGAAAUCUUGUGUGAGGAUAGCUUCUGAGUGGAAGUUAUACACGAGUGAUAAAAGUGAGUUGAGAGAUAGCCUCUGCGUAGGCAGAUACAAAAUACAGUGUGGUAUUUUUGUUGUACUCCUCCUUUUGAGAUUCUCUAAUAUAUUGGUAUGGGUCCGUGGACGUAGGCAGUUUGGCCGAACCACGUUAAAAAUAUCGGUGUCAUUUUUCUUCUCGUUUCAUAUCGGUCGAUAUCCACAAUAUUGAGUCACACUUGAUCCCGGGCGGAAUUAGUUGUGUCUAAUUUCCCAACAACAAUCCUGGGCGGAAUUAUUGGAGUCUAUAAUUCCCAACAACUAGAAACGAACUCUAACACUUGAGUUCAAAAACGAUUCUAGUCUAUUACAGUUAAGACCUAUGAAUUUUGGUAUCAUCAAAACAAGGGUUAGGAUAUUCCACAAGGUUCCCAACAAUGAGCUUGAUCGAAAGUGCAGGAAUUUUAUCUAGAUUGGCAAGACGAAUCAGAAGCCUUCGUGUGCGGUGAAGUGGGAUCGCUGUUGCGCCAUUAAGGAGGAAGGAGGUUUGGGAAUCUGCUCCUUUACCCUUAUGAAUAAGAACUACCUUAUGAAGCUCGCGUGGAAUCUCAUUAAAGGCAGUUCCUUUGCGCACCAGUUGCUUAGAUCCAGAUAUCUCACGGAGUUUGGUUAUGUUAAGAAAAAUGUUGCGAAUUCUUCGAUUUGGCUCGGGCUCAAGCAUGAAAUUGAUGGGUUGGUGGAGAAUUCUUACUCUGCGAUUGGAGAUGGCAGAUCCACCCUCUUUUGGAUGGAUGACUGGCUGGGAUAUAAGAUAUGUGAUCUUUUGGGGAUUCCUGAAUAUAUGCACGAUUUGCUCACGCAUUUUGUUGCGGAUUACUACUUUGACAACUAUUGGCAUUUUUCUGAAAAUUUUGUUGUGAAUUAUCCUGAUAUUGUGGGCGAUAUCAUUCUUCUUCCUAUGGAUAAUUCCACGGAUGCUCAUUUCUGGAAACAUUCUCUACGCGGUGACGUGACCUCGGCACUGGCCUUCACCACCACGUGUCACCGGUACCCCAAAGUUACGUGGGGCUCUUGGCUCUGGGAUGCGGCCAUCCCGGUCCGUCAUUCGCUGACUUGCUGGAGGCUCAUCCAUGGUCGUCUGCCAACCAUGGAUUGUUUGAUCCGCCAGGGACUUGUUACUCCGAAUGUUUGCUGUCUCUGCUUGAACGAUGCAGAAAACAUAUCACACAUCUUUUGGGCUUGCAGGAAAAUUAAACAGGUGUGGGCUUCUUUUCUCAAUUGGUUCGGCCACCCCGAGCUCUUGGAUUGCAUGGAUAUUACGAGCUUUCUCGCUGUGGCGUGGAACAUGAAUUUCAGCUCCCUUCUGCAGCGUCUUUGGAAGAUUGGUAUCAUCAACUUAAUCUGGAUGAUUUGGACCAGCCGUAACAGUGUGAUCUUUGAUGAUAAGUCCUUCAGUGAAACCAAGGUGCUUAAGUUCAUCAAAAUUGCUUACAAAGAAGCGGACUCCUCGAAUCUGCAUCUUGGGCACAUGGCGAAUGAUUGGAAAGAAUAUCUCACGUUACGUGAGCUUGGCGUGAGGUCGCGAUCUGCCCCUCCUCCAGAUUACAUUGAUGUUCACUGGUGGCCUCCGGACUUGAAUUGGAUGAAAGUGAAUACGGACGGGUCGGCAUUGGGGGCGCCGGGAAGGAUUUUUGCCGGGGGCGUUUUUCGAGAUCACCGAGCAGAGGUUCGUUGGUGUUUUCAUGUGAAGGGAGGCUCGGGCUUUGCUUUGGAGGCAGAGCUGCUCGCUGUUAUCAAAGCCAUUGCCAUUGCUGAGAGUCGUGGUUGGCGCAAACUUUGGUUGGAAUCGGACUCUACUUAUGUUGUAGAGCUGCUUCGAAAGAAAUCGCUGGAGGUGCCUUGGAGAUUUCUGACUAGCUGGAAAGCGACGAUUGCCAGCCUCAGCAACUUUGAGUUCCGAAUUUCUCACAUAUACAGGGAAGGCAAUGCGGCGGCGGACAUCAUGGCUCACAGCUCGCGUCAAGAGGGCUGGUGGCCACAUAGCAUCGAGGCUAUUGAGACUGCGGUCAUCCGGGACAUGGCCUCGCACAGCCACACCAGACGCAUCUGAUGUGGUCGAGGCUCUUGGUUGCUGGUGCUGGGCGCUUUUGGUUUUCAACGAAUGUUGAGCUCUUUGGUGUGGAGCUGGCUGUUCGGAGAUAGCGGCACAACACUUUGAUCGAGCAUUUGGUGGGCUUCUUCGCUGUUGUUCUGUCGAACACCUGGGGUGCGGUGGCGGCUGUUCUUGGCCUUUUUUGUCGAACACUUGGUGGGCAAGUGGGGCUGGAUCCAGGUUCGCUGUUGCGUUGCUGCUGGUUUUACGUGGCUGUUGCUGGCUUGCCAGCGUGCUUUAUCGAGGUUCCUCAAGGUAAUUUAGUUAUCGGCGACAGCGUCNUAGCGGCACAACACUUUGAUCGAGCAUUUGGUGGGCUUCUUCGCUGUUGUUCUGUCGAACUACCUGGGGUGCGGUGGCGGCUGUUCUUGGCCUUUUUUGUCGAACACGUUGGUGGGCAAGUGGGGCUGGAUCCAGGUUCGCUGUUGCGUUGCUGCUGGUUUUACGUGGCUGUUGCUGGCUUGCCAGCGUGCUUUAUCGAGGUUCCUCAAGGUAAUUUAGUUAUCGGCGACAGCGUCUCAUCGGCCGGAACUAUUAGCCUUUCGUCCUUGGUCUUUGUUUGUGUGGUAAUCUCGGCGACGGAGUAUAACCGGCCGAUUUUUUACCUCUUUUGUUUUGAGUUUAGUUUAGUGGUAAGCUCACGGCGAUGGCGUAUAACCGGCUGUGUUGCUUCCUUUCGUUUGUUUUAUUUGCUUGAGCUAACGGCGACGGCGUCUAACCGGCCGUGUAGCUUCUUCUUUUUGGCAAUUAGGCGACGGCGUCUCACCGGCCUUUUGCCUCCGUUCGGUUUUUUCUGUGGGGUGAUAGACGGGUUGGUUUGGGGACGAUGGUUAGGCCGGAGUUCCGGAAACUUACCCUGCCGCUCUCACUCCCUCUUUUACAGUUGUCUAGACGGGUACUCUUUUUCCUUUUUACGGUUUUUCCCUCUGGGUUUUCCGUAAAAAGGUUUUAACGAGGCUCGGCCCUUAGUCUGCUUUCUUGUGCUUUCAAGGGUUUCUUAGGUUUUCCUUUUCCUUUAUAUAAAAUCGCAUUUUAUAUACAUAACGAAAAAAUUAUAUUUUAUAACAGAUUUUACCGUUAUGUAUUAUAUUCAUACAAAACGGUAAUCAAUAUGUUAUGUAUACUUCAUUUACCGUUAUGUAUACAUAGUAUAGGUAACGGUAUAUUACCGUUAUGUAUGAGCGCCCUCAUACAUAACACCACUAUAUAGGACGUUUUUUUUGGUACAUAGAAAACAGAAAUUUACCGUUAUGUAUGAGCGUUUUUUUUAGUAGUAAAACUAGACAUAAAUUCGAUUCAGUCACAAUAUUUUCAAGUAAAAAUUACACAAUUAUGCCUUCAUAAAUAUAAAAAAUCCAUAUUCGUCAAUUAUCUAGACAUAGAAUUAUUUAUUUGCAAAUUAAAUCAAUUUCUUCCACGGGAGGUAAUUGCAGAAUAUUGUUCCAAAAUCUUGUCUACAUAUAUGCCUACCUUGCCAUGGAGGCUACCACACCAUAGUCGCGUUUUGUUUUUUUUGUUUUUUCUUCUAUUUUUUUAUUAUUGUUAUUGUUCUGAUUAUUAUUACUAGUAUCCCAACUGUGCAUAUGCACGGAAUAAUUGAUAUAGUUAUAUAUAUAUAUAAAAAAUUAAAUAUAUAUUAGUUAGUCAUGUGUUGUGUUAAAAUAAAAAAUAUUGUGUUAUAUUGUAUAAAAAUAUAUAAUCUUUAAUAAACUAAUUAAUUUUUUUUAUAACUGUACUAUUAUAGAUAGAAAUGUUAUGAUGAAAUAAAAAACUGACAAUUGUUACAUACUCCCUCCGUCCACCAAAAAUAGUCCUAAAGAUGGACGACACCGAUUUUAAUAAAAAUGAUUAUUGGAGGGAGUAUUAUGUUUGUCGCGUGCUAAAAUCUUCAACCAACUUCGAUUUUUUACUCUUGAAACAACAACGUAGUUGGGUCGGGUUUGGAUCUUAAUAGCAAAUUUAGGAAAAAUAAAAUGAAUCCAACAAUAACAUCGAAAAAUUUGAAGAAUGUGUUGAAUGUGUGGAGAUAGAAAGAAAAAACGGUUUUAUUUCAGUUAAUGAGUAAAUAAUGAUUUCACGCAUGAGAAUCAUAUUUAUAAAUUACAAAGCAAAUAUAGCGCUAAGGUCCAUUAAUCGAGGCAAUUCAGCCCAUAAUCAUUUUGUAGGUAGCUUAUGCGACAAUAUUCAUUAAAGUCCAAGGCCUGAGGUCCCCUAUUUGAACUUUGAGUCCACUGUGAUGCAGUCUGUAAAUUUCUUUAUUUAAUUGUGUAAUUUAUAUAAAAAAAUACAAUUAAAUAUGGUGUAGUUAGUAGUUACAGCAAACAAAUUUAUAAAUUGUAUUAUAAAACUUUAUUUUUUUCUCGUUUUAGUGGAAUCAUUUUUUUACGGUCCUUGUAAAUUAAAAUAUCAAAAUCAAUUAUUUUAAUUGAAAUAAUAGAUAUAGUAUUAUACAUUUUAAUCUUUUUUUGUCAAUGAUUAAUGUGAAGUAAUAUUACCAUUUGAAAUAUUACAAUAAAACACCCAAAACCAAAUUCAUUUCUUUUCUCUGUAAACUAAAAACAAUAAGAAUUAUUGUUAAAAAACAAAAAAUAGAAGUAAAUUAAACAUAGGAAACAACAAAAAAUCACUCGCAACCCACAAAAUGAUUAUUAUCUUUUAUCAAACUCAUUUGUUUCUCUUUCUUUUCUUUUUCCUUUUUUCAAUAAAAUCACAAUUUAAUAAAAAAAAUCAUUUGUUUCUCAACCUCCAUAACAAAAUCACUUUUGCAAAUAAUAAAGAUAAAUAAAUUAAGUUAAAUAAAAAGGUGAAAUUUGUUGUGACAUAUGCAAAAAGAAUUAUAUUACAAAAAAUAAUGUUGCACUACUACACGUAUAUGGCUCAUCAAGUACCACAUAUUUUAUUGGAUGUGGAAGGACAAUGACUUUCAAGAUACUUAUAAAUUACGUACUCAUUUACCCAUGAAUUGAUACUUGCAACCCUUACUUUAGAUUGCUACAAUUAUUGUGGGUUCUCUUCAAUCUACAUUGAAAUAUUGUAAUAUAAAUCUGAAUUUAUGCCAACUACACAAAUAAUCUUUGUGCCACUAUUUAAUUAGAAAUACUCCCAUGUGUCUGUUCGUGUUUUUGGAUUUUCCUUUUUCAAUUGAGAUCGACUCUCUUUCUAUGUAUUGUCACUUUGUCAACCAGAAAAUAAAACUGAGGGUGUUGCUAUUUGCUUAUUUGUUAUCACCAUCCUAUUUGCACAUUAUUUUUUUGGAACAAACUGACUAUGCUGAUUAGUUUACUAUAGUCUUACAUACAUAUAUGAGACGAAUGUAAAGCAAAUUAAAUAAAAACAUUGAUCACCAAGCAUAGUAAUGCUUCGACAUGAUUGUAAAUGACAAUUUCAUAGGAUAUAACACACUGGAAAAAUAUAGCAUAGAUCUCAACUUUACUACAUACUAAUUAACAAAUUGAUUUUUUGUUUAUUGGGCUGUCCCCAAAAAAAUAUACUUCCUCUGUCCGCGAUAUCGUUUCCACAUUUUACAUUUCGAUCUGUCCGCGAUAUCGUUUCCACUUCCAUUUAUAAUUGUAGGGUCCACAUAACACUUUAUUAUCUUAAUUUUUUAUUUUCACCUUUAUUGUGGGGCCCAAACUCUCACUAUAAUAUCUACUAUUCCAUCCGUCCACAAUUUAAAACCCUACUUGCUAUUAAUUUUUUGUCCACAAAUUAAAGCCCUAUUCUUUUUUUGUACUUUUUUACUCUUCUUAUUUUCCUAUAUUUACUACUCUUUGCCACUAAUGGACCCACCUUAAACACCUUUAUCAUUUUUAUAUUUUAUAUUUACUACACUUUAUCACUAGUGGACCCACUCACAACACUUUUAUCACUUUAGUCAACUACCCUUAUAUUUCAUCCACAUCACCUUUUUCAGCUUUCUUAGUGUUCGUACCCACACCAAAAUGGGGCUUUAAAUUAUGGACGGAGGGAGUACUAUUUACUACUAUCCAUCAUUUUUCUUAAAACUCGCGUCAUCCACAAUGUGGAAACGAUAUCGCGGACAGAGGGAGUAUUCAAUUUUCCGAGAAAAAUCUUUUAGCUUAUGAAAAAUCAAUCUAACUAGUAUAUAUAUGAUAGAAUUUUUGAACUUAUCCCGUUGUUAUGGAAUUCCGUGAGGAAUUUCUUCGAAUUCAGAAUGGAAUGAAAAAGACGAAAUUGACCUCGACUCACCGGAAAGAAGCACAAAUAGACAAAUCCAACAAAGAGCCAUCCAUAAUAUUUAUUCUGUUUUGUUUCCACAUACUCCUCGGCCACAUCUUGUGCUUAAAUGCUCUCAAAAUUCUGAAGCAAACUUGCCAUGGAUUCUCCGCCUGCUCUCGACGACACGAAACCGGAUGGAACUCCGCCGCCUACCACUUCCAAGAGCGGCGUUAGAGCCUACAUUAGGUCUAAAACGCCGCGGUUGAGAUGGACGAAUGAUCUUCACAAAUCCUUUAUCAACGCCGUCGACCGCCUAGGCGGAGGAGAUAGUAAGAAAUGUUCUUUUCUUUGAUUUUGUUAAGGGAUAAUAAUAGUAUGUAAAUUACUAAGACUCUCACCACAUUUUGCUUCUACACACUAACUUCAAAUUUUGUAAUAAUUCAACUUUUAAAUUCAUCUGAUUUUGCUAACGAAUUGGAUUGCAGCUCAAUCUAAUCAUAACAUGGCCGUCUGAAAAUCCGAGGUGGCUAAAUCGGAACGCCAUUGGUUCUUACCCGUAAACUAAUAAAAUCUAAGUUUUGUUUUGGCAACUAAAUCGCGACUAAUUAAUUCAUUAUUCGUUAGUAAAAUCAAAUUAAUUUUAAUUUCAGUAAAUGUUAGACAUAUUUUUAAGUUGGUGUACUAAAACAUAUGUAUUCAUUUAGUUAAUCAAUUAAUUGCAUGUGCAUGAACAUCAAAAUGGUACGUGUUUUUCACUUUCUUAACUUUCAUAAAACCAAAUAAGAACGAGUCAUUUAUAUUUUCAUUGGUGAAACAUAAUUAAUUUAAUUUUGGUGAUAGGGGCGACUCCGAAAAUGGUGUUGGAGUUGAUGAAUGUGAAAGGGUUGACUAUAACGCAUAUCAAGAGCCAUCUUCAGGUUGAAGACAAAACCCUUUGAUAGAAUUUUUUGCGAAAAUGACGUAAUCUCUUAAAUUCUUUAGAAUGAAUUAUAUAUUUAGUUUUAAGGUACGUUUCAUUUAAUAGUUUAUCUCAUUCUUUCUGUCACGGACAGAUGUACAGGAGCGUGAAGCAUGAGCAAAUCAUAAAAGGUAUGCAAAUGCUAAUACUUCCACAUGUAUUAAAGGCCUCAUCUACUUCCUACAUUUAAUAAUUUUCUAACCAACAAUAAUAUGUAUUUUUAAAUUAGUAUUGUUAUUAGGGUUAAUAGCCGGAAAAUACACGAACUAUUUUCAAAUUUGCAUAUUGCACAUGACCUUAAAAAUUAGCCCCAUAAUACAUCACAUUUCAAUUUGAUUGCAAAUUGCACAUGCGUUGACCACCACCUUCAUCGGUGGUGAUGUGGCUAUCGGAUUUUGUUGACGUGGACGAUUUUCCGAUGUAGGAAUACGACGUCGUUUUGUUGUUACAUUACAACAUCCAAANGCUACAUACUAAUUAACAAAUUGAUUUUUUGUUUAUUGGACUGUCCCCAAAAAAUUAUACUUCCUCCAUCCGCGAUAUCGUUUCCACAUUUACCAUUUUGAUCUGUCCGCGAUAUCGUUUCCACUUCCAUUUAUAGUUGUAGGGUCCACAUAACACUUUAUUAUCUUAAUAUUUUAUUUUCACCUUUAUUGUGAGGCCCAAACUCCAUCCACUAUAAUAUCUACUACUCCCUCCGUCCACAAUUUAAAACCCUAUUUGCUCUUAAUUUUUUGUCAACAAAUUAUAGCUCUAUUCUGUUUUUUUGUACUUUUUUACUCUUAUUCUUUUUCUAUAUUUACUACUCUUUGUCAAAUGGACUCACCUUAAAACAUCUUUAUCAUUUUUAUAUUCUAUAUUUAUUACACUUUAUCACUAGUGGACCCACUCACAACACUUUUAUCACUUUAGUCAACUACCCUUAUAUUUCAUUCACAUCACAUUUUUCAGCUUUCUUAGUCUUCGUGCCCACACUAAAGUGGAGCUUUAAAUUGUGGACGGAGGGAGUACUAUUUACUACUAUCCAUUACUUUUCUUAAAACACGCGUCAUCCAUCAUGUAGAAACGAUAUGAUAGAAUUUUUGAACUUAUCCCGUUGUUAUGGAAUUCCGUGAGGAAUUUCUUCGAAUUCAGAAAGGAAUGAAAAAGACGAAAUUGACCUCGACGCACCGGAAAGAAGCACAAAUAGACAAAUCCAACAAACAUAUUUAUUCUGUUUUGUUUCCACAUACUCCUCCGCCACAUCUUGUGCUUAAAAAUGCUCUCAAAAUUCUGAAGCAAAGUUGCCAUGGAUUCUCCGCCUGCUCUCGACGACACGAAACCGGAUGGAACUCCGCCGCCUACCACUUCCAAGAGCGGCGUUAGAGCCUACAUUAGGUUUAAAACGCCGCGGUUGAGAUGGACGAAUGAUCUUCACAAAUCCUUUAUCAACGCCGUCGACCGCCUAGGCGGAGGAGAUAGUAAGAAAUGUUCUUUUCUUUGAUUUUGUUAAGGAAUUAAUUCAACUUUUAAAUUCAUCUGAUUUUGCUAACGAAUUGGAUUGCAGCUCAAUCUAAUCAUAACAUGGCCGUCUGAAAAUCCGAGGUGCUAAAUCGGAACGCCAUUGGUUCUUACCCGUAAACUAAUAAAAUCUGAGUUUUGUUUUGGCAACUAAAUCGCGACUAAUUAUUUAUUCAGGCUUCGUUAGUAAAAUCAAAUUAAUUAUAUUAUUUUAGUUGGUGUACUAAAAAAUAUAUAUUCAUUUAGUUAAUCAAUUAAUUGCAUGUGCAUGAAGAUCAAAAUGGUACGUGUUUUUCACUUUCUUAACUUUCAUNACUAUAACACAUAUCAAGAGCCAUCUUCAGGUUGAAGACAAAACCCUUCGAUAGAAUUUUUUGCGAAAAUGACGUAAUCUCUUAAAUUCUUAUAUAUUUAUUUUUAAGGUACGUUUCAUUUAAUAGUUUAUCUCAUUCUUUCUGUCACGGACAGAUGUACAGGAGCGUGAAGCAUGAGCAAAUCACAAAAGGUAUGCAAAUGCUAAUACUUCCACAUGUAUUAAAGGCCUCAUAUACUUCCUACAUUUAAUAAUUUUCUAACCAACAAUAUAUAAUAUGUAUUUUUAAAUUAGUAUUGUUAUUAAUGUAUGUUCUAUCCUCCAAACAAAAGAGAAAAUAGAUUAUUUUAGAGCUAACAUAACGUAGAAAGAUUAUUGUGCCAUAAAAACGAACUACACAAAGAUUAAAAAUGUUCCGAGCUAUAUAUAUAUAUAAUCAUAAGUUUAUAACUAAAUCAACAUUUUAACAGAAAUGUCCAAAGCCAUACAUAUAUAAUAGCUGAUCCAACAAAAUAUCCCAAUUCAAUUUAUGAUCGUAUUAGAAAAAAAAACAAAAAAAAGAAAACCAACUUUCGGGCUGUUAAACGACUUUCUUUUGAUGCAAGCUCAUUUUCAAUAUACUUUUGUUAAAAUUCACUGAACGUCUGACAACCCAUGUAAACCAAAAAUUAAAUUUUGAGACAUUUUGUUAGUUUUAUGAUUUUUAGGUUAUUUUUUUUGUAAUUAUGUAGAGUUUGAGAUAUUUUUAUUAAAAUGUCAAUAUUUGUUAUGUGAGCAUAAUUUUAUAUAGUUCACUAUAUUUCUUUCAAAAUGUUAAUAAUUAGGAUAAUAAAGUGAACUUUUUUUCUUUAAAUUAUUUAGAAGCAUAUUACUUAAUAUAUUGUCAUUGAAAUGUAUGUCUAAACUAGCUAAUUAUUGAGAAAGUAUUUAUUAAUUAAAUGAGACGGCGGAACAUAACUUUUCGGUUUGAAUCAUACGUCUCAAUAUUUUUGUAUUCCACCCGUACGUGUUUCACUAUAAUUAAAAUCAUUAUUUGAAUAAUAUUUAUAAUAUCAAUAUAUUGUUAUUGAUUAAUUAUGUCAAGAGUCCAGACUCUCGAUCGAAAGCAUUCAUUUAUUAAAGAGCUGGUCUUGGUACAACUGGUUGUACCGUAUAAUCUGGGUGCACCCUUACCUGCAUCCUGACCCGAACUCACAUUUUGAUUUAAACCACAUAAAUGACACUAUUCGGUUAUACACAUGACACUGCUUGUAAUUGACAUUAUUUGAUUGUACAAAUGACACUGUGUAUCAUUGACACUAUUCGGUUAUACAACCGACACUAAUCGUGUAAAUGACACUAUUCGAUUAUACAAAUAACACUGCUUAUAAUUGACACUAUUCUGUUAUAGAAAUCACACUAUAACAUUUUAAAAUGUCACAAUGUCAUUUAUAUAAUCGAAUAGUGUCAGUUAUAAACAAUGUCAUUUGUAUAAUUGAAUAGUGUCAAUUAUAGGUAGUAUCAUUUGUAUAAACGAAUAAUGUCAUUUAUACGGUUUGAGUCAGGAUGCAGGUCAGAGUGCAAUCCGGUUGUACGAUACAACAAAUUUUACCCAAAUUUUUGUAUUUAUUAAAAAUGAGAAGCAUAUUCAAAUUCGAUCGGAUCUAUCCCAACAUUUAUGCAAUGUCCUACUACUACUACUACUACUACUACUAAUAAUAAUAAUAAUAAUAAUAAUAAUAAUAAUAAUAAGGGUUAAUUGCAUUAUUAUUCCUGACCUUUUCCAAAUUUGGUUUUUUGAAAACUUUUUAAUUGUAGCAAAAAUUUAGCUACUUUCAAUUUUAUUGCAAUGUCCGUCCGCGUAUAUUUCCUACCAAAUCCAUUCAUUUCCGGCCAAUUUAUUUUAGCUACGUUUCAAUUUAUUGCAAUGGAUUUGAGACGACAAUGUUUCAUUACCCGGCACGACAUGCCACCUAAGCUUUACGGAGGUCCACCUCAACAUGGAUUUGGCCGAAAAUAUACGCGGACGGACAUUGCACUAAAUUGAAACGUACCUAAAAUUUUUGCUACAAUUAAAAAGUUUGUCAAAAAACCAAAUUUUGGGAAAAUGUAAGGUAUUUUGAUGCAAUUAACCCAAUAUAAAAUUAUAAAUUGGGCCAGCGGAUUUGAUAACGAAGGAAAUUGGACUCUAGAGUCUAGACCUUAUACAUUAGGAUGAAGUGGCGAGUACACUCUGCGUCCACUUCACUUAGUAAGAUGUUUCGUGGAUGAAGGGAGUAUAAAAAAUGAGAAUCGAUUGAUGUAUUGGACUAAUGUAUAGAACGGCAAAUAGAGCAACUCAUAGUUUGACACAAUACGUCACGCAUGAGAAUUGAUUGGUGCGUUGAACGAUGUUAUCUUUAAUGUGAUACGUUUUUUUCCACUAUUAAUAUUUUCGACAAUUUUCUCAAAAGCUUUUUAUUAAAAUUCGUGUCAAAAAAUUUCAUGCAUAAAUAUAAAAGACGGAGGAAAUAAUGCGAUAUUUUCUUCUUCUAAAAAAAAUUAUACUCCCUCCGUCCAAAAAAAAUAAUUCCUUUUUACUAUUUGAGAUGUCCACAGAAAUUAGUUCAUUUGCAUUGUUGGAACUUUCUAUCAGAUGAUGGGCCCCUUUCUCCGCUCACAAUACAAUUAAUUAUCAUUAUUAACACUAUUUUUUAUGUGGAAUCCUUUAUCUAUUCACAAUACAUUAAAUUAUUUUUAUUAAAACUCGUAUCGUCUCAUUUUAAGACUAUUUUUUAUGGAAGUAGUGAGUAAUUAGGGUUGUAAAUGAAUAGAGCUAUUCACAAGCUAAUUCGAGAUUCGACACGAUAAAAGCUCGUGCAGAGCUCGAUUCGAUAGUAAAUGAGCCAAACUCGAUCCUGAUUUCGAGCUCGAGUCUGAUAGCACUCGACUCAUUAAGUUGGUAAAUAUGUUCGGAUUCGAUUGUUCAAUAACAUGUUUGCGAGCCUAUUCGCGAACCUUCAAUCGAGUUACUACACGAGCUUUAAAGGAGACGAGCUCAAACUCGAAUAGCAUAUUAAUUAAGAUUUUUUUUUUAAAGUUUAAUGAAUUUGAGUUCGAACAUUAUCUAUACAUAUAUUAAAGCAUAGAAACUUGGGGGAAUGUGAUCCCGCCAAGAGCAGCAUUGUGUAACCCAAAGGUUGUUGCCUUAUUGUCCGAUGAGUAAUUGGCUGCAAAAAAUUGUCCAAUGAAUAAAAUUAUUCCUUCACUUUAUACAGCUGUAACAACUAGCUCUUUACAAUUUAGCUCCAAAACUGGCGCCCAAACUUCAAUUUGAAAUUUAAAAACAAGCAAUCUUGGAGCCAAUUUGCUGAUCACUUGAUGCCUAUAAAUAUCAGAUUAUUUCAGUCCAUAUUUUCGAAAUGCAAACUUUCUCUCUCUAAUAUUUGUAAUUCUAAUUCUUUUGCAUGUUUUUUAUGUUUUUAUGUGGUACUUUCCUGCAAACUCUCUAAUCUUGGUUAUGCUAAUUCUUUUUUAUGUUUUUUAUAUUUUUAGUGGUACUUUUCUCUCUAAUCUUGGUUAUUCUAAUACUUGUGUAUGAUUUUAUGUUUUUAUGUGGUACUUUCCUUUCUAUUUUGUUCAGUUUUUUGCUAUUUACAUUACAACUCAAAUACUCCCUCCGUCCCAAUAAUCUUGUCCCACUUUCCUUUUUGGGUUGUUCCAAUAAUCUUGUCCCAUUUCCUUUUUGGGUAAAUUUUAAGGCUAAUUAACUCUCACUUAAACAUCAUUCUAAUUAAACUUACCCCUCCAAAUUAACAUCACUCGCCUCUCUCUUUCUCUCUCUCUCUACCAUCUCCCUCAUUCUCCCUCUUCGCUCCACCAUUUCCCCUCUGCAAAUCCACCGGCGCCGCCGCUCACUUCCCCUCUGUUCCACCGACGCCGCCUCCCUCUUCCCCCUUUGUUCCGCCGCCGCCUCCGCCUCCGCCUCCCCCCUUCCCUCUCCUCGUUUUUUUUUCCUUCAGAAAUUAAUGCUCACCACCGCCGCCCUUCGCCUCUCCUCCUGUCCUCCUCUGUUCCGCCGCCGUCGCCGCCUCCCUCCUUCCCCCUCUGUAAAUCCGUCGAGCACAGAUCUAAGCCCUAAACUCCCUCUUCUCUUGCCUCGCCAUCAGCUUCCCUUCUCCGUCUCCACCGCUCUCUCCACCUCCGAGCCCUAAAUCCCCAAAUCCAAACGCCACCCCUUCGAUUCCGGCGACUGUACAGCCAUAGGGCUGCCGCCGCGGUGCCUUCUCCUGGUUAGCGAAGACGAUGGAAAACUUGUUGAAGAAAUUUGGCUUUUCUGUUCUUGGUUAACGAUUUGUUGAAGAAAUUCGUUUUUCUGUUCUUGGCUUUUCCAGAUUUUGUUCUUGGUUAAUGAAGAUGAUGAAAAAUUUGUUCUUGGUUUUUCUGUUUUUGGUUAGCAAAAAUUUGUUGAAGAAAUUGUUCUUGGGCUAAAGAUUUGAUUUUUAUUCUUGUUCUUUUGCUUAAUUUUGUUCACUGCUCCGGAUGGAGAGAGGCGGCGAUGAGGCAGGUGGCUGUGCCGACGCCGGGGAGGGAGGUGGCGCAGGUGUGGCUCCGCCGCUUACUGUUGCCGGGAGGAGGUGAAGAAGAAAGAAGAUAAACACAAAAAUAAUUAGUUGAUACUUACUUUUUCUAAAACAAGUGGGACCUUACAAUUUACAACACUAACUCAACACUCCUUAAUCUCCGUGCCCAAAAGAAAGGGGACAAGAUUACCGGGACGGAGGGAGUACAAUAUAAAAAGUAUCAAAUAUUUAUGAAUUUUUCUGUAGUUCAAGACUGGAGCAUAGCAUCUGCAAAAGCCAACGGAGCACAGAAUCUGUAAAAGCCACCAAAAAAAAAAAGGUUUAAGUGAAUAUUCAAGUUGGUAUGAAGAAGAAGAAAUUUCAUAUCACCCAUAAAAGAGUUCCCUCAUGUUAAUGAUACAUUUCAAUAGGUUUCAAAACCAAGAUUAUAUUUGUAUAUUUAUAAUCUACAUGGGAAAUUUUGAUGGAGGACAAAGAAAUACAAGCAUGUAUAUAUAUUUCAUUUUCAUUAGUUUUUCAUUUAUUUGACUCAAGAACAGUAUUAAAUACAAAAAAAAGUUCAUUAUAUAUAUUUAUGUGAAUGCUUUCUUUCAUCGUAUUUACUGAUUUCCAUGUAAACCAAACUCAAUAUAAUUGUGAAAAUAAUGUAAACAGCCAAGUUACAGAAACUAUUUUUUCAACAGUGCCUGUGGCGAGACUCCGAGUUGAUGAUAAUACCUUAUAGUGGUGGAGGCGGCCAAACUGAGAGUGCGUAUGAAAGGUGAAGAUUUAGGAGUGACGUGAGAGAUGGUAGCAUAAAACUGUUAAUCUGCAAAUUAACUCAAAUUAGAUUCAAAAUGCCAUAAAACAAAGUAAUCACCAAGUCUAAAAAGAGCACAACAGAGACACCAAAAAAAACUAUUCUGUAAACCAUUCAACCUCAUAGCGUAGUAACUCACCAAGGCCUUAUCUUCAAGACCAUUUCUUGACAGCAUACUGAUAAUCAAGUUCCAAGAAACGGAGUUCCUUUCCGACAUUUGAUCGAACACUUGAUAUGCAUUGUCGACAUCAUUUAAUUUGCAGUAAGAAUCUAAAAUAGCGUGGUAGGAGAAUAUGUUUCUCAGAGGCAUUUGGUCGAACAGGCGGCGGCCGGCUGACGUACGGCCGCAUUUUGAAUAUAGCAUCAGGCUGUUUACCAGAAAAGUAUUUGAAAUUUGGCCGGUGCGAAAAAUCUGAGCUUGAAUUAUUUUUCCUGCCUUGUACGCUUUAUGAUCUAUGCCGAAUAAAAUUUGUGUAGAUAUUCAUAGAUCUAACAUAAUAAUAUCAUAAACACAAAAUAUAACUCUAACAAGAAAAAACUAAUAUGGAAAAAAAUAUACUUAUUCGGUAUUAAAAAACAAAGCAUCAUCCAAAAAAAACUUUUCAAAUGCUAUUCCUAGAUCUACAAAACUGAUACUAUAAAACAAAAAAAGAAAAAAUAAAAAAUUUAAAAAUGAAAACUAAUAAACGAAAAAAAAAAUAAGAUCUUAAUCAGUAUAAAAACGCUGGAAUUGGAAUUAAAGAUGCAGUCGAGGGAGAAGGCCGAGAUCUGGAGCGCUGGAACUGGAAUUAAAAAUGCAAAUAUGCAGUAGAGGGAGAAGGCCGAGAUCUGGAGCGGCUUGGGCUUGGGCGACGCCGUCGUUUGAAACACGAAGGGCGGUGGGGGGCGAUCGUAAGGAGUCGCCGACAUGAAUUUCAGAGAUAAGCUGGGAGAUGGGGCGAAAGCUAGGGUUUUAUUUUUGGGAGUGGUCAAAGAAAGCGAUGCUCGAUAAUAUGGCGGACGACGAGAAUAUGGCAGACGACGAGAGAGAAGGUGAAUAUGGAGAAAGAUGGAAUUGAAGGGGAGAAAGAUGCAACGAGGGAGAAGAGGAAAAGGGUAGAUCUGGAGAUAGCGGCGCCGCUCAAUUGUGUUAAACCCUAAAAUGAGAUAAGUGUUUAUAUUAUUGAUUAUGUAGUUGGGCUGCUGUACAAAAUAAUUACUAAUAGUUUAGUUGUAUCUAUGGGCUUAUUGUGGGCUAGCCAUGUUACACCACCAACAACCAGAUGUCGCCACCUCCAUUCAUCAUACCUAAUUUUUAUUUAUUUAUUUUUUAUUUUUGCAUCAUCUCUGCUUUGAAUUUUCUAAUGUGAAUAUGGAUAUGGAUCCAAUAUUUUUGCAAUACAUAUUUUUGCAAUUCUGAUAAGCUCGCCAAUUUUCAGCGACCUUUUAAGAUGUGACUUAUUUAAUUCUAUAUUUUAAAAUUGAAAUUAGACUUAAUAUUUAGUAUUUUAAUUCAUAAAAACAAAUAAAUUUAAGAAAUAUAUGGAAAAAUAUAUUGUCUCUUAUUUAUUUUUGUACAAGUACUACUUUUUUUUUGUAUAAGAUAUAAUAAAACAGUAACCGUAUUACAAAUCUGAAAUAUUAAAGCUUAAAUUAAUACAAAUAUGAAAUAUUAAAAAUCUGAAAUAUAAGAUAUAAUAAAACGGUAAUAGAUAUCACAUAUUUACUAUCAUUACAAACCUAGAGUUUUAGUACUAAUAUUUAAUACAAAAAACUUACUUAAUGCUAGAAAGUUGUUUGUUAUGUUUUUCAAAAGUCAAAUAUAUAACAUUAUAUAUAAUAGAUAUCAACAUUUUACAAAUGUUGGGCUUCGAAGUCAGCGUGAUUCUUCAAUUAUUGUUAAAACAAAAUAUAUCAUAGAUAUACAAUUUAUUGUUAAACUAGAAGUUUAUUUUUUUAUUAUUUAAAUAAAUUAUUUCUAUGAGAUACAUAGAAAUUAUAUCGAACUUUUUUUUUUCAUAAGCCCAAUACUUAUUAAUGCUUUUAGUCCGAUUAAUUAUUUGCUCUUGGGCCUUCAUAUUUUGUUGUGGGCCAAAUUAAAAUAAUAAUAAUAAUAAUAAUAAAGUAUGGUUUUUGGUCCAUACGUAGAAUUACUUUAUGCACAUAGAUUUUUUUAUGUAUUUUUAAUACAUAAGUUACUUAUUUAAUAUGAACUGUAAUACAUGUUUUAAUAUGAAUUGUAUGAUAUGAAAGUCAUUUAUUAUUUUAAUUCCUAUUUUUGUAUUAUGUAAUAUACAUGAUUAAUUUUUUAUUAUGUACCACUACUAUACUUCACAAAUACGUAUGAAUAUUCAUGUCGUGCGAAGCGCUGGUAUGUUACUCUUAUUAUAUAUGUCGUGCGAAGCACGAGUAUGUUUUAUAUCUACUUUUUUUUACAAUUCUAUAUAUUACUCUUAUUAUAUAUGAAUUGUAUUUGUGUUGUACUAUCUUUUAAUAUGAAUUGUAUGAUAUAAAAGUUAUUUUUUAUUUUUAUUCCUAUUUUUUGUAUUAUGUAAUGUACAUGAUUAGUUUUGUUUAACCACUUUCUAUUAUGUUUUGUAUCACUUUGUUUUUCUUUUUACAAUUCUAUAGUACCGCUACAAUACUUCACAAAUACGUAUCAAUAUUCAUGUCGUGCUACUCUUAUUAUAUAUGUUGUGCGAUUUGUAUCACUUUUUUUUUUGCUUUUUACAAUUUUAUAUGUUACUGUUAUUAUAUAUGAUAAAUACGUAUAAAUAAUUGGGUCGUGCGGAGCACGGGUAUAAUACUAGUUAUAUAUGAAUAUCUAACAAGUUGAGUUCAAGCUCAAUCUGGAAUUCGACAUUAUUGAAUAUCUUAAGAGUCGAGCUCAAAUAAUAAGAUAAAACCUCAAAUCAAACUUGAGUCGAGUUCGAACAAUUUAAUAUUUAAAUGAAUUGAGCUCGAAUUUAUUGGUGUUUCGAUUAGACUCGACUCAUUUAUAGUCGUGAGCUCCUUGUGCCAGGUAAGCCUAUGGCAAAAUAAUUGGAAAAAAAUAGGGACAAAAAGGAAUAAUGGAAGAUGAGGUCGAAUACGUUAUCCUAAUCUCAAGAUGGGUCCGCUUUCAAUCAAACUCCCAAUAUUCGCCGUUUCCUCCUCAAAGCCUCUCACUCCGCCGCCGCCGUCGCAGUCGCCGCAUCUCAAUGUCAGAUUCAGCUUCGUUCCAUCAAUAUCUUCGAGAAUUUCGCAUCGAGCCGCCGCCGUCGUCGGCAGUUUGCGCGCCUCAGCAACUCCGGCGCGCGAUAGAGUGAUCGAUUUCGGGAAAUACAAAGGGAGGAUGCUGGGGAGCCUGCCGUCGGCGUAUCUGAAAUGGGUGUCGAUGAAUCUACGGGCGGGCGAUACGGAGGAGUGGGCCAGGCUGGCGGACCGGGUACUGGCCGACCCGGUCUACCGCGACCGCCUCGAGUGGGAGGCGGCGGAGAACAUUCUCAGCGGCAACGCCGCCGCCGCAGCCGCCGCCUCCGGCGGAAGCGCGCUGCUCGAGAUCAGCGAGAGGUUUGGGUGGGACAACGAGGAUAAGAGCGGGUGGAGCAAGGUGGAUUUCGGGCUGCUAGGGACGUCCAAGGGCGCCAGGAUUCCCCGCGCGGCGGCGCGUGUGGGGAGUUUGAAGAAGGAGGGGGAGGAGCGGAGGAACGAGAGCGUGGAGGGGGGAGGAGAGGAGAGAGGAGGGAGAGAGUGAGGGGCUGGAGGGAGAAGGCGACUAGUGCCGGGACAACGAGGGAAGACGUGGAGAGUUCUUCUCCGGCGAGUGGCGGAGGCGCGGCGGGGAGUCCGUUUCCGGGGAGGGAGUCUCUGUUGAGAAAGGCUCUUAAUCGACAAAGAUUCUAGUCAAGUUUUUCCUUUUCUUUUUUUUUACUCCAAUUUUUAAUUAAUAGUUCAAAUAGUAAUUUUCUAUGCACCACAUUUAAAAUGGUACUAUUAUUAAUGGUAUUUAUUUUCAUGAUUUAUAAAAGGUGUGAUUGAAUAUUCUUAAAAAUAAAUUUUUUCAAUGUGAUUUUUAAUAAGACAAUAAUCAAGUAAACUUAAUUUAAAAUUUUAAAUAAUAAAAAUAAUCAAUUGUUAAAUAUUUUUAUUCUUAAAAAUAAAUUUCUUUAAUUAU
RNAcentral lists this long non-coding RNA (40980 nucleotides) under Salvia miltiorrhiza (redroot sage). RNAcentral describes it as "long non-coding RNA (SMIL_LNC001590)". Lineage: Eukaryota; Viridiplantae; Streptophyta; Magnoliopsida; Lamiales; Lamiaceae. The record is from RNAcentral.